RNAcentral lists this non-coding RNA (445 nucleotides) under Pan troglodytes (chimpanzee). Lineage: Eukaryota; Metazoa; Chordata; Mammalia; Primates; Hominidae. The record is from RNAcentral.
GCCAAGUCCUGGACAGUCUUUAGGCCAUGUUGGAACUACAUUUGGAAAGGUGGUUGUUAAACAUUUCCCAGCACACACCUGGAUCUGCAUCUGCUGUGUCAAUUGAACCACUCACUGGUUCUGUGACCUCAGUUCUUCGUAGACUCUGGAAUGGAGCUGGAAGCUGUCAUCCUCAGCACACUAACGCAGGAACAGAAAACCAAGCACUGCAUGUUCCCACUUAUAAGUGAGAGCUGAACGAGCAGAACACAUGGACAUAUGAAGGGGAACAACACACUCUGGGGCCUGUGAGGUGCGGGGAGAGCAUCAAGAAGAACAGCUAAUGGGUGCUGGGCUUAAUACCUGGGUGAUGGGUUGAUCUGUGCGGCAAACCACCAUGGCACACAUUUACCUAUGUAACAAACCUGGACAUCCUGCACAUGUACCCCGGAACUUAAAAAUAAAA